Molecule: transfer RNA, 72 nt
Filed under: Corymbia henryi
Lineage: Eukaryota; Viridiplantae; Streptophyta; Magnoliopsida; Myrtales; Myrtaceae
Description: tRNA-Ile
Source: RNAcentral
GACAUGGGGGCGAAAAAGGGAAAGAGGGGGAUGGGGUUUCUCUCGCUUUUGACAUAGCGGGCCCCGGCGGGA